GUGGUGUGCCCAAGGCCCAGGGGACCAAGGCUAAGGCCAAGGUCCAUCAUUCAUGAGGGCUUCAUGGAGACUCUAGGGCUAGUUGGGCCCUAGGUUGAAAGGCUGUGGGCCUUUCGGGUUCUUGAGGUCUAGGUUAUGUGGGCCUCAAGGGACCAACUCUUUAUGGGCCAGGUCUGGGCCCAGGAGAGAUGAGAUUAGGUUGAGUCAUGGGUGUACAUGGGCUUGGAUUAACCUA
Molecule: long non-coding RNA, 235 nt
Filed under: Elaeis guineensis (African oil palm)
Lineage: Eukaryota; Viridiplantae; Streptophyta; Magnoliopsida; Arecales; Arecaceae
Description: long non-coding RNA (EGUI_LNC041439)
Source: RNAcentral